CACAAAGCCUCCACAGCCCUUGAACCGAUCUGUGAUGGAGUUUUCACAGAUGCUGAACUCAGGGGCUGCACUUCCGUUGGGUACAGACAACCUAUGCUGGCCUGCAGGAAAAUGUCUAAUUCAGAGAGAAAGUGAUUCUGCACAAAGUCUAUAAAGUUUCCAGCUUUCCACCAUACCUGCAGACUUAAAGAAAACCUUGUGUCUUUGAGGUGGAGAACUGACUAAAGUGGGAGCAGAGGAAAUCCAGCAGCUCUUUGAACCGGUGACCUAUAAAAGCAAGUAUCAGGAUAUUACUUCAUAUGAGCAUUCUGUGGAGAUGUAAAGAAUGGCAUGUGAACUGAGAGCAUAUACACACAAAUAUAAAUACUGCUUUGCUCCUGCUUUGCUUUGCUCUCUUCAUGGGAGAGAAGAAAUAUACUUCCUGCAAAGACUUUUCAAGUGUACCCCAAUCUGAGGGCUCAUGGCAAGCUCUGUACUUUUUACACACCCUGAAAGGCAAGUGCAGAGAACACAAUGGAAUGAGAUGGAAUGGGAUGGGAAGGGUGAGGAUCGGGUGGCGUGGGGUGGAGUGGGAUGGGAUAGGAUGGGAGCUGCUGUGAGGGAGUCCAGAUCUGAGGUUAUCUGCUCCACACAGCAACUUCUUCUAAUUGCCUUGUACUAAACUGCGCCCUAACCUGAUAAGAUAAUCUCUUUCUAGGUUCAUCUUUGUUUUCACUCCUAUAGCAGGAGAAACGUGGUGAUGUAUUGAGAACGUAGUUUCAUUUUUACCCUCCUGACUAGGCAAAGGACGCUGUGGGUGCUCCAGGUCUGCAGAGAUCCUCAACUGUGGUCAUGUGCUGCAGCCCUUUGCACCAUCUUGCACUGCCUUAUCCACCUCCAAAUGUACUAGGGACUGAGGGCUUGGUAGGCAUUUAUUUUAUCUGAAUGACUGGAGAAGAAGGAAAAGAGCUAACAUUUGAUUUAAAGUAAAAAAAAGAAAGAAAAAAAGAAAAAAGAAAGGGAAGGGAGGGGAAGGGAAGGGAAGGAAAAUAAGGAAAGGAAAGGAAAGGAAAGGAAAGGAAAGGAAAGGAAAGGAAAGGAAAGGAAAGGAAAGGAAAGGAAAGGAAAGGAAAGGAAAGGAAAGGAAAGGAAAGGAAAGGAAAGGAAAGGAAAGGAAAGGAAAGGAAAGGAAAGGAAAGGAAAGGAAAGGAAAGGAAAGGAAAGGAAAGGAAAGGAAAGGAAAGGAAAGGAAAGGAAAGGAAAGGGUAAUGUAGUAAUGUUAAAAAAACAUAUCCUUUUUUUUUUUUUUCUGCAGUAAUUUUUG
RNAcentral lists this long non-coding RNA (1303 nucleotides) under Gallus gallus (chicken). RNAcentral's name for it is "lncRNA (ENSGALG00010003355.1)". Lineage: Eukaryota; Metazoa; Chordata; Aves; Galliformes; Phasianidae. The record is from RNAcentral.